GAUGAAGAACGUAGCGAAAUGCGAUAAGUAAUGUGAAUUGCAGAAUUCAGUGAAUCAUCGAAUCUUUGAACGCACAUUGCGCCCGCCAGUAUUCUGGCGGGCAUGCCUGUUCGAGCGUCAUUUCAACCAUCAAGCCCUGCUUGCGUUGGGGUCCUGCGGCUGCCCGCAGGCCCUGAAAACCAGUGGCGGGCUCGCUAGUCACACCGAGCGCAGUAAUACAUCUCGCUUUGGGCGUGCGGCGGGUUCUUGCCGUUAAACACCGCCUUUUUACCAAGGUUGACCUCGGAUCAGGUAGGAAUACCCGCUGAACUUAAGCAUAUCAAUAAGCGGAGGA
RNAcentral lists this unclassified non-coding RNA (334 nucleotides) under soil metagenome. RNAcentral's name for it is "partial contains 5.8S ribosomal RNA, internal transcribed spacer 2, and large subunit ribosomal RNA". The stretch from base 1 to 120 matches the Rfam family "5.8S ribosomal RNA", at positions 35 to 154 of the family's 154-position model. The record is from RNAcentral.